CGGGAUGUAGCGCAGUGGUAGCGCAUCUGUUUUGGGAACAGAGGGUCGCAGGUUCAAAUCCUGUCAUCCCGA
This 72-nucleotide transfer RNA is filed under the name Leptospira sp. GIMC2001. RNAcentral's name for it is "tRNA-Pro". It matches the Rfam family "tRNA". Rfam says of the family: Transfer RNA (tRNA) molecules are approximately 80 nucleotides in length. Their secondary structure includes four short double-helical elements and three loops (D, anti-codon, and T loops). Lineage: Bacteria; Pseudomonadati; Spirochaetota; Leptospiria; Leptospirales; Leptospiraceae. The record is from RNAcentral.